CAGCUUUGCAAGUGAAGGAAAGAAAGAAAGAAAAAAGGAAAGAAAGAAAGAAAGAAGUGUGAACUUUAGAUUACUCCACUCUACUUAGUCUAACAAAAACAGGAAUGUCUACACCCAUACUUAAAGAUUAAGUAUUUAGGAGGAUGACCUAUGACAGACAUGUGCUAGCAAAUGACAAAUCAGAAACCACUGACCUGUUGGUUGUCCUAAGUCAAGCUUAAGCUACCAUUUGGUACAUGUGAGAUGCAGGAAAGAGAUGUAAAAAUCAUCUAUAUAUUUCAUGUCACUUCCUCUCUCCAGUCUCUUUCCACAGAGAGGUGGCUCUGGCAGCAGUUUGCUGAGUGUUUCAGCAUCUUGGCAUGGUGGCAGCUAUUGUCCAGAGUUGGCGCCAGAAAUUGAAAUCCACUGGAGGAUUUGUCCGUUUCUUGGGGAUGCAGAAUUGUCCAGAACAAUAUCACCUUGAGGUCAAGUGAUGUAAAAUCACAGGUUGCCUGGUAUCCAGGGCUGCAAAAUGUACCAGUAACAAAAAAAAAAUCUUUCGUGGCUCAUGAGCAAAAAGGCACUGGUUUUAAAUUCAAAGAGUUAGAGAUAUUGUACAAAGAAUAAAGCUGUUACUACGCACAGUGGUUUUCUUCUUCACCAUGAAUGAGGACAUCUGGCUUAGGAC
RNAcentral lists this long non-coding RNA (667 nucleotides) under Monodelphis domestica (gray short-tailed opossum). RNAcentral's name for it is "lncRNA (ENSMODG00000044583.1)". The record is from RNAcentral. Lineage: Eukaryota; Metazoa; Chordata; Mammalia; Didelphimorphia; Didelphidae.